CUACGGGCGGCAGCAGUGAGGAAUAUUGCACAAUGGGGGGAACCCUGAUGCAGCAACGCCGCGUGGAGGAUGACGCAUUUCGGUGUGUAAACUCCUUUUAUAUGUCAAGAAAAUGACGGUAGCAUAUGAAUAAGCACCGGCUAACUCCGUGCCAGCAGCCGCGGUAAUACGGAGGGUGCAAGCGUUACUCGGAAUCACUGGGCGUAGAGGACGCGUAGGCGGGUUGAAAAGUCAGGUGUGAAAGCCUACAGCUUAACUGUAGAACUGCACUUGAAACUCUCAACCUAGAGUAUGGGAGGGGCAGAUGGAAUUAGUGGUGUAGGGGUAAAAUCCGUAGAUAUCACUAGGAAUACCUAAAGCGAAGGCGAUCUGCUGGAACAUUACUGACGCUAAGGCGUGAAAGCGUGGGGAGCAAACAGGAUUAGAUACCCCAGUAGUC
RNAcentral lists this ribosomal RNA (439 nucleotides) under uncultured bacterium. Its description in RNAcentral is "partial 16S ribosomal RNA". It matches the Rfam family "Bacterial small subunit ribosomal RNA", at positions 339 to 795 of the family's 1533-position model. The record is from RNAcentral.